GCCAUGUAUCACGUCAUAUGUUCCUGACCAACCCCUAAAUUUUGUAUUAUUGGAGUUUUUUUUCCUUGUUCACAAUUGUAUUUCUAGUGUAUGUCUAAUGUUUGUUUGUUUGUGUGUUUGUUUGUUUUGUUUUUGUUUUGUUUUGUUUUGUUUUUUUUUUGUGUGUGACUUAAUUGAGGAGAAUGAAAUGUUGAAAUGG
RNAcentral lists this long non-coding RNA (199 nucleotides) under Physcomitrium patens. Its description in RNAcentral is "long non-coding RNA (PPAT_LNC006063)". Lineage: Eukaryota; Viridiplantae; Streptophyta; Bryopsida; Funariales; Funariaceae. The record is from RNAcentral.